RNAcentral lists this ribosomal RNA (253 nucleotides) under uncultured bacterium. RNAcentral describes it as "partial 16S ribosomal RNA". It matches the Rfam family "Bacterial small subunit ribosomal RNA", at positions 524 to 776 of the family's 1533-position model. The record is from RNAcentral.
UACGUAGGGUGCGAGCGUUAAUCGGAAUUACUGGGCGUAAAGCGCGCGCAGGCGGCGAUCUACGUCUGGGGUGAAAGCCCGGAGCUCAACUCCGGGACUGCCUUGGAUACGGGAUCGCUUGAGGAUUGGAGAGGCAAGGGGAAUUCCACGUGUAGCGGUGAAAUGCGUAGAGAUGUGGAGGAACACCUGUGGCGAAGGCGCCUUGCUGGCCAAUUACUGACGCUGAGGCGCGAAAGCCAGGGGAGCAAACGGG